GGUGGAGCUGGGGGACUGGUAGCAGAAUGUCGCACUCGUUGAAGAUGUUGCCCUGCAAGAAGAGAAGAGCUGUUGCUGUGGAGCCCCGGAGUCCUUCCGUCGACUUGAGCUCUCACAAGGAGUGUGCAGCUCUCCUCUCAGAUGCAGAGUCUGUUAAACUGGAGUCUUCUAAUCCUAGUGGCGCUGAGGAGCUCAGAGACUCUGUAUCAAAGCACUGGCGAGUGAGCAAAAUCACAGAUACUCAGCCUGUGUCAGCUGCCGAGAAGACUGGUGCACAGCCUGUGUGUUCUGUAAGCACUGCUAUCAUACUGGAUGAGGAGUUGCCCUUUUUGGAAACCACUGAUGGUGGAGCCUCUAAGGGAAACAUAAUCCCAGGAAAAGGGACCUCCCAGGUGUGUAGCCAAAGGGCUUGGAAAGAACCAGUGGAGAAUUUCCUGAGAAGUGGGAAAAGAAUCCCAAUGAAGCGUAGAUCAGAUCUCAGUCAGGACAGUGGUGAAGGUCAACUGAACACAAAAGAAACUGCGACGGCAAAUGAAUUUCUUGAGCAGGGUAAGGAGCAAGAAUUCACUGAAGAAGGGAAAUCUCUUAAACUGCAUACAGGGGUAGAAGUAAUUUUGCAGACACACCCCCAUCCAUCUGACAACCACUCUCCAAAACAAUUGGCCCAAGUGAAAAGUUCCUUGCUGCUGCCCAUUAAAGCUCCUGCCACGAUCAAGACAUCGAAAAACACCAAAACAGGGGAGCAGCUGCAGCAGACUGAUGAGGAAACUGAGGACGUUGGGCUGUUUAUUCCACUGGAGGAGCAAGAUUUAGAGGAAGGUGAGAGGAGGAAGAGGAGGAGGAAGGCAACCAAACGUAAACGUGAAGAGAGAGGCCAAGAAGAGGAGGCGUCCUUGGCUUGUGACAUCAAACUAGAUGACAUGCUUGAUCGCACCUUAGAAGAUGGAGCAAAACAGCACAACUUGACCGUCGUCAAUGUGCGAAAUAUCCUCCAUGAAGUGAUCACAAAUGAGCAUGUGGUUGCCAUGAUGAAAGCAGCCAUCAGUGAGACAGAAGACAUGCCCAUGUUUGAGCCAAAAAUGACUCGCUCUAAACUGAAGGAAGUUGUGGAGAAAGGAGUGGUAAUCCCUGCAUGGAAUAUUUCUCCAAUUAAGAAGGCUAAUGAGAUCAAGCCUCCUCAGUUUGUGGACAUUCCCCUUGAAGAAGAUGAUUCAUCUGAUGAGGAAUACCAGCCUGAGGAUGAGGAUGAGGAUGAGACUGCUGAAGAGAGCUUGUUGGAAAGUGAUGUGGAGAGCACUGCCUCUUCUCCUCGGGGAGCAAAGCGAUCUAGGACAAGGCGAUCAUCAGAUAUGAUAGAGACAGAUGAAGAGGGAACAACCCUAUCUGAGGUUGAGAAGGUUUCUACACCCCUUAUUAGGCAUAUUAGUGCUGAAGUGGUUCCCAUGGGACCUCCACCACCACCUAAACCGAAACAGAGCAGGGAUAGCACUUUUAUGGAGAAGCUGCAUGCUGUGGAUGAGGAACUGGCCUCCAGCCCAGUGUGCAUGGAUUCCUACCAGUCUUUGGAUGAUAGCCUCAUUGCUUUCCGCACUCGAUCAAAGAGACCCUUGAAGGAUGUUCCUCUUGGUCAAUUGGAGGCUGAGCUCCGUGCCCCAGAUAUCACACCAGAUAUGUAUGACCCAAAUACUGCAGAUGAUGAAGACUGGAAAAGGUGGCUUGGGGGACUCAUGAAUGAUGAUGUGGAGAGCGAGGAUGAGGCUGAUGAUGAUGAUGACCCUGAGUAUAACUUCCUGGAAGAUCUGGAUGAACCAGACACAGAAGACUUCAGGAAUGAUCGUGCUGUGAGAAUCACCAAGAAAGAAGUAAAUGAACUGAUGGAGGAGCUGUUUGAGACAUUCCAGGAUGAGAUGGGUUUCUCCAACAUGGAGGAUGAAGGCCCAGAGGAUGAGGACACUGUUGCAGAGUCACGGCCGAAUUUUAACACACCACAGGCACUUAGAUUUGAAGAGCCUCUGGCCAACUUACUCAACGAACAGCACCGGACAGUGAAGGAACAGCUUGAACAGCUGAGAAUAAAGAAAUCUUCGACCAAGCAGCCACAGGAGAUGGAGAGGUCAAAACCUCAAAUUGAGAAGCCACUUCAGACCCUAGUUUUGGACAUGGGGCAGAGAAAGAGGCUGCAUCAGCAAAUGCAGCAGCAUGUCCAGCUCCUGACUCAAAUCCACCUUCUCACCAGCUCCAACCCUAGUCUAAGUUCAGAAGCCAGCACCACGAGGAUGUUUCUGACUGAGCUGAGUAACUUUGCUCACAGUUCCAUGCUCCUUCGUCAGCAGUUCCAUCCCAAGUUUCAAACAGUGUUCCAACCAUGUAACUUGAAGGGAGCGUUGCAGCUCAUUGAAGACUUUCAUGGCCAGGUCAAAGUUGAUUGGAGCCCUCGCAAAACUGUGAAGAAGAGUGCAAAUGAAUUCCCCUGUCUUCCAAAGCAAGUGGCAUGGAUUCUGGCAACGAGAAAAGUCUUUAUGUACCCAGAGCUGUUACCAAUUUGCUCCCUGAAGGCCAAAGCCCCCCAGAACAAGAUUAUCUUCACAAAGGCAGAGGACAAUUUAUUAGCUUUGGGUCUGAAGCACUUUGAAGGGACAGAGUUUCCUAAACCUUUGAUCAGCAAGUAUCUCCUGCCAGCAAAGACUGCGCACCAGCUGACAGUGAGAAUCAAGAACCUCAAUAUGAACCGUGCCCCUGACAAUAUCAUCAGAUAUUAUAAAAGAACAAAGCAGUUGCCGAUUUUGUUCAAGUGUUGUGAGGAAAUUCAGCCUUCUGAGUGCAAACCCCCUGUGGAGAGGGAAGAGCAGCAUUUGCCAUUCUGGCUGAAGGCAAGUUUAUCCUCCAUUCAAAGGGAGCUGAAGCAAUUAGCAGAAGAUGCUGGGGAGGCAGCAGGUUCACCCAGUGCAGAAUCUGCUCUUUUGAGGACAGAAAAAGAAACUUUGGAAUCGGAGUGUGAUGAAAAAUACCCUCUGCUCAUGCCCAAGGGAAUAGUGCUGACACUGAAGCCUCUUGCCAACCGUUUCUCCAGGAGAGCUUGGAGGCGGCAGGGGUCUGCAGCCCUGAAGCCCCUACUCAUUCGACCAAGUCCUUGUCUGCAGCCGAGUUCCAACACUAUUAAUAUUCAGAAAGCUGCUGUAAAGUUACCCCAAUCAGAAGCUCCUCCUAGCAAAGUUGUGGUUCAAAUUCCCCGGUUAAUCCAGCCAGCUACAAUUAUGCAGACUAUGCCAGGAAUGCAGCAUUUGAACAUCCCUUCAGCAGUGGGAAGUGGCGAUUGCUUUGAAUUUCAGAGCGUGCUUUCCACUUUACAAUCUGAUUCCAGAACUUCUCUUCCAGCUGCUAUACCACCAGCACUAGUAUCCUCAACCCCUGUGACUUUUCAGACAAAAAUGAUACCAGCUUUGACUGCCUCAAAAAUCCGCAAACCUUGUGUCCGCAGGGGGCACCAAAAGAAAAAGGGAACAAAAUCCACCCCUCUGAUAAAGGCUGCCCCUUUGAUCCAUCCAGCCCCUGUCAUCUUUACGGUACCUGCUGCUACAGUGAAAGUGGUUAGUAUUGGCAAUGGCUGCAAUAUGAUUCAGCCCAUAAACACAACAGUUGGCAGGGGCACUCAGGCUAUUCCAAUUACAACUUUGUUGGUAAAUCCCACCACCUUCCCAUGCCCAUUAAAUCAGCCUCUAGUGUCCUCUUCUAUUCCUCCCUUGAUAGCCUCUCCUAACUCUGUAGGUCUUCCUGCUUCAUCAACUGCUGAAGACAAAGAGCAGUUGAAUCCAGUCACUUCCCGUCUUGCUGUAAAUGAUGAAAAUUCCUUCCCCAUAGCUGAGCCUAAAGUCGAACCCCAAGAGCUUUACUCUUCAUGUUCUGCCAUCUCCCCCAAGAAGGAACACAGCACAGGUCCUGCUACUCCAGACAAUGACAGCCAGGAGAAGGUUAAAGAGAGUGAGUGUUAUAGUUGGAUAGUUGUGGAGACAAUGGAAAAGGCGGCCUUGGAGCCAUUACCCGUGGACCUCUUACCUCAUCUGGAGGAUUUAGGAGAAACAGUGAAAACUGAACCUGAAGAUUCCAGUGACGCCCUAGAAGAAACAAACCCAACUCAGGAGAAGAAAAACUUGAAUGCUGAAAUAAAGGAGGAGUUCAUACUGGAUCUAGGGCAAGAGCUGGACAUGAAGGUCACAUCUGAGCAUCUGAGUGAACAGAAGGAAAUUAAAAAAGAGUGCACGUCCCAUCAGGAGAAGGGACGAGAAGUAGAGGCACCCACCCAGGAUGAGCAGCAGUUGGAAGACAUUGAUACGGCUGGGGUGGAAAUGAGCCACGAGUCUUCCAAGAAUGCCUCUCAUUCAACAGAUGUUGAUGCAGAGUUCAGUAGUCCAUUGGGGAAACCAGAGGACUCAUCCAGUGUGGAUGGUCAGUCUGUAGGGACACCAGCUGGCCCUGAAGCAGUGGGAGAGAAGGACGGACAAGAAGAGGAAGAGGAGGAGGAUUUCGAUGAUUUUACUCAAGAUGAGGAGGAUGAAGAAGAAAUGUCAUCAGCAUCAGAAGAGUCCGUGCUUUCUGUGCCAGAACUUCAGGAGACAAUGGAAAAACUGACUUGGCUUGCAACAGAGAGGCGUCUAAGCCAGGAGGGAGAUUCUGAGGAAGAGAAUUCCCAGGAAGAGAACUCAGAGCCGGAAGAGGAAGAGGAGGAGGAGGGAGAAGGGGAAGGAAUGGAGAGUUUGCAAAAAGAAGAUGAAAUGACAGAUGAGAUAGCUGAAGAUUUAGCUGAGGAACCCAAAUCUGCCUUCAUUUUUACAAAGGUUGCCCCAGAGGUGGAAACCAACAGAAUGCCACCAGAUGAGAAUGUGAAAGUGCCUGGGAAAAACAGGAACUCCCACAGAGCCAGGAAUAAGAGGGGACGGACUCGUGCCAGCAAAGACACCUCCAAGUUGCUGCUGCUGUAUGAUGAGGAGAUUCUGGAGAGAGACCCUCUCAGGGAACAGAAGGAUUUGGCAUUUGCACAGGCCUAUCUGAACAGGGUGCGCGAAGCUUUGCGGAAUGUGCCUGGGAAGUAUGAAGACUUCCUUCGUGUUAUCUAUGAGUUUGAGACCAGCACCCACAAGCCAACUGCCGUGGAUCUGUAUUCCACUCUCCAGACCCUCCUGCAGGAGUGGCCACAGCUGCUCACAGACUUUGCUGCCUUUCUUUUGCCUGAGCAAGCGCUGGAGUGUGGAUUGUUUGAAGAGCAGCAAGCAUUUGACAAAAGCCGGAAGUUCCUCAGGCAGCUGGAAAUCUGCUUUGCUGAAAAUCCCACUCACCAUCAAAAGAUCAUCAAAGUGCUGCAAAGCUGUGCAGACUGCCUCCCCCAGGACAUUGCAGAGUUGAAGACCCAGAUGUGGCAGCUGCUGAAAGGACAUGACCACCUGCAGGAUGAAUUCUCCAUCUUCUUUGAUCAUUUACGUCCAUCAGCCAGCCGCAUGGGAGACUUUGAGGAGAUCAACUGGACAGAGGAGAAAGAGUAUGAGUUUGAUGGGUUUGAAGAGGUGUCCUUACCAGAUGUAGAAGAGGAGGAGGAAACCCCCAAGAUGCACACAGCCUCGAAAAAUAAAAAGAGGAAAGAGAUUGGAGGCCAGAACAAUGACAAGGAGAUGGAGUGGGUGGAUGGGGUGAAGGAAUGUUCGUGCUCCUGCCAUGAAGGGAGCAGUGACCCCAAACUAAAGAAGAGCAAGAGGAGGACCUGCAGCCAUUCCAGCUGUAAGGUGUGUGAUAGCAAAUCCUAUAAAAAUAAAGAUUCUCAAGAGCUCACUAACAGCCUGACUCAACGAGAGUUGAGCCCUCAGCCUGAAGAAAAGGAGCUUGGGACAUGUAAGGAGCCUGCAGAGGAGUCUCUGGAGUACAGGGAUGAAGUGGAGAAUGGCCAGAGCAGAACAAAAACCAUGUCUAGGAAAGCAGACUCCCUGGCUUCAGGAUCUCAACUAGAAGGACAGUUGAUCUGCUGCAGAGGCGUGUCUUCUGAAGGAGGAUUGCCAAAUAGCAGGGUCCUAAAACUGAGCUCUACAGGAAGCCCUCUGUGCUCUGCAAAAGCUGGGGUCACUGCUGUUGUGGACCCUGCAAAAGAAAGUCAAACUGGAAUUGCUGACUCUGGAUUUAAUAUAAAGCUGCCUCAACAGAACAAACGCAACCCUUAUGGUCUAGGAAGUUAUAGUGAGACCAGAUUAAACCAGAGACAAGGAGGGACUGGUGAGGGUUCCCUUGGCCUUGCCAAGCAUGUUUUAGGGUCUGAUUCAGCUACAAGGACAGGCAGCUUGGGAGCUGAUCAUUUGCCUGGAAGGAGCUUGCAACAGAAUGUAGCCCUUCAGUUCAAGUCAUCAGUUAAACCUGGACAUGCUCCUUCAAAAUCAGGAGGGAGAGAAAUGGAGAGAUUGUCCUUCCCUCUGAAAGGAAAACCUGAAGUGAGGAGGAAUUGGUUGGGAGCAGUUAGAAAACUCAGGCUGAAGAUACUGGAUAAGAGCUCCCACUUGCAGGUUCCCAGUGAUCGUAUACUAUCAGAAGCAGAUGGUACUGGCUGCAUUGGAGUCUCUCCUUUUGACCAGGAAUCACAGAGCAGAUUAAAGUCAAAUAAAAGUAACUGCUGCUUUGAGGUGCACAAACAGUCUGAAGAGCUGGAAUGUAGAGCAGUUCCUUCCGACAUGGGGCAAAGGGAAGAUGAGCAGCAGCAGAAAAUCAUGGAAGCCACCGUGUGUGCAAAGAAUAGCAAAGUCAGCUCUACUGGGGAGAAGGUUGUUCUCUGGACCAGGGAGGCCGACCGUGUCAUUCUUACCACCUGCCAGGAGCGAGGAGCCCACCUGGAAACCUUCAGUGCCAUCUCACAGGAACUGGGCAAUAAAACUGCUAGUGAGGUGUCCCACCGGUUCAGGGAAUUGAUGAGGCUCUUCCAUACAUCCUAUGAUGGAAGCUCUGAGGAUGAGGAAGAUGCAACAAGCACCAGCAAUACUGACCAGCUGUCAGAUAAGGAUCUGCUCCUCUCUGAAGAAGAACAGGAUGACUAAACUACACUUGUGAGGUCAUUAGCACGUAUCCAGUUAGGCUGAUCCCUAAAUUGCAGUCAGCAGCUGUGCCCCUUCGUGCAGCUACCACUUUGCCUCAGUUUGCAUUUGAAGUGAAAUAAACAUACCCAUCAUCGUUGUACUGAUGUAUCAUGAAGAUGCUUCUAGGAUGCAGACGCACUCGGAGACAGACAGGCAUGGAAGACUUACACACCUUUACUGAGAGGAAGAGCUCUGGGACUGAAGUCUCCAUCAGAGGACAUGCCUCCCUGCAACAAAAAGCCGCAGAGACAGGUUUUACUAUGGCUUUGCCUCACUUGUAAAUGGGUAGCAGGGCAAUAUAGUAGGAUGGGGCUCUGAACAUUGUUCUACAUCUGGGCUUCUAUGGUACGCUGUACAGUUCAUAAAGUCUCAUUCAUUUCUCUAGUGAUUUUAUCCGGCAUGACCGCAAAGUGGUUCACACAAACAGCAGUACUGUGAUGCAGGCAACAACUAGUAUAACGCAUGCUGCAGGGUACUAUGGGAGGAAUGCAGUCUUAAUCAAGGACACCAAUGGUAGAUGUUCAGCCUGAAUUUGUAGGACUACUGCCAAGCUACAGGGAUGUAUUAUUUGGACAAUGUUUCAUCCAUUUAUUUCACAUCAAAACAGGAGACUUUUGAUUUGCAGACAGCUGAACAUUAGAGAAAAGACCCUUUCACAGCUCUUGAAUCCUCUGGAGAAAAAAACCAAACAAAACCAAACCAUUGUUGGUGCAAUUCCAAUGGCUGUCUCUGGUCCAUUUACAGCUGUAUGUUUUUCACACAGUUUGUGCAAGGACUGCUUUCCCUCCUACACCCAUCACCAAUAACUAAAUCCAGAACCUACAGUCCUGCCUUUACUGCAGCUUCUCAGUCUCUCUGCCCUUGAGCAUUGCCACUGGAGACAUGGAGAAGUCAGCUGCUCUUAUGUUCAGAAAGGCCUUAGGAAGGUUUAAGAAGGAAAUAAUUCCAACCACAUGUUUUUACCAAAAAAAAAAAAAAAAAAAAGCAGGCAGAUCAACAGGAUCUGGCCAAGUUUGUAUGUGGGGUAGAGGGAGUAGAAAGUUCUAGACACCAAAACCUACCAACAACAAUAUCUAACAAAGCCUGUUGCCAAGAACAAAACCCUGUUAAUUUAGCAUCUCUGGUUCUAGGAUACAAAUCAAACCCAUUCAGUCUCUACACCUUGAGUUCUGGCUUCUCACCUCCAGUUUGCUGAGGUCCUGUAGAAAAAGGUUCUUUGCAGGAGGGUCUUCUUGAUGAGUCAUCAGAUUACCCUGCCUGAAAAAUAAAUCACAUUAUUUGUACUACAGGAGCACAAAGAGGCCUCAGAGAACAAGGCUGCACUGGGCACUCUACCUGCGUGUAGCAAGACAGUCCCCCCCACCCCAAAGAGCUUAUAGUCUAGUAUCUAGCUCACUAAAUACAACCUGGCUCUUGAGUUGUGAUAAGAACACUGAUCUCUUAUGGUAAUUCCUAAUUAAUUACAAUAGCCAACACUGCAUGUUUCAGAAGACAAUGCAAGAAACCACCUAGUGGACAAUUCUAAUAACCUACCCAGAGGGGAUGAUUCCUUCUAAGCUAGAAGAGCAGCAGAAAGAAUUCUUCUGUUCUAGGUCCAUGGGACUUUACUAAAAGAGGUUGUGUCUGUCAGUUUCUUUAACUUCCUUUAAUUUAUAGCAGGCCAUGGAAGAGAGGGAGCAAGAGGGGAAACUUUUGCAAAUAGAAGAGGACUUCAGUUUUGAACUGUGAAUCCACUUGGGGACACAGUUUCAGGCUGAGAACAGAGAUCUCAAAUCAUGACCUGCCAUGCAGCAGGAGGAAUUAGAUUAAUAAUUAUCUGCAGUCCAGUAUAAUGCAUAACAUACUAGAUCAUUUUCAUACAAACAGGAAUCACAAUCUCUUCCCAAAGAAGAAUUUCCAAUCUAAGAAAAACAAACAUUAGUCUGGGUCCAGGGGUGAGCAACAAAAAUGAUUAGGUGGCUGGAGCACAUGACUUCUGAGGAGAGGCUGAGAGUACUGGGAUUGUUUAGUC
Mauremys mutica (yellowpond turtle) is the source of this 9111-nucleotide RNA transcript. It is a transcript of the gene named gon-4 like, with no coding region annotated. The record is from RefSeq and is a predicted model, not a curated record. The transcript is spliced from 33 exons. Lineage: Eukaryota; Metazoa; Chordata; Testudines; Geoemydidae.